UACAGAGGAGCCAAGCGUUGUCCGGAUUGACUGGGCGUAAAGCGCACGCAGGCGGACGCGCGCGUGGGGUGUGAAAUCUGGCCGCUUAACGGCCAGGCGCCAUCCCAUACGGCGGGUCUGGAGUGAUGCAGAGGUCGAUGGAAUUGCCGGUGUAGUGGUGAAAUGCGUAGAGAUCGGCAGGAACACCCAGGGGGAAACCAGUCGACUGGGCAUCUACUGACGCUGAGGUGCGAGAGCGUGGGGAGCAAACCGG
This 253-nucleotide ribosomal RNA is filed under the name uncultured bacterium. Its description in RNAcentral is "partial 16S ribosomal RNA". It matches the Rfam family "Bacterial small subunit ribosomal RNA", at positions 524 to 776 of the family's 1533-position model. The record is from RNAcentral.